This 255-nucleotide ribosomal RNA is filed under the name Pseudomonas sp. Zu7c. Its description in RNAcentral is "partial 16S ribosomal RNA". It matches the Rfam family "Bacterial small subunit ribosomal RNA", at positions 62 to 319 of the family's 1533-position model. Lineage: Bacteria; Pseudomonadati; Pseudomonadota; Gammaproteobacteria; Pseudomonadales; Pseudomonadaceae. The record is from RNAcentral.
UCGAGCGGUAGAGAGAAGCUUGCUUCUCUUGAGAGCGGCGGACGGGUGAGUAAUGCCUAGGAAUCUGCCUGGUAGUGGGGGAUAACGUUCGGAAACGGACGCUAAUACCGCAUACGUCCUACGGGAGAAAGCAGGGGACCUUCGGGCCUUGCGCUAUCAGAUGAGCCUAGGUCGGAUUAGCUAGUUGGUGGGGUAAUGGCUCACCAAGGCGACGAUCCGUAACUGGUCUGAGAGGAUGAUCAGUCACACUGGAAC